This 2914-nucleotide ribosomal RNA is filed under the name Mycoplasmataceae bacterium. RNAcentral describes it as "23S ribosomal RNA". It matches the Rfam family "Bacterial large subunit ribosomal RNA". The record is from RNAcentral. Lineage: Bacteria; Bacillati; Mycoplasmatota; Mollicutes; Mycoplasmatales; Mycoplasmataceae.
AAAUAAGUUACAAAGGGCUUAUGGUGGAUGCCUUGGGACUGGAUGACGAUGAAGGACGUGCUAAUCUGCGAUAAGCCACGGGUAGCUGAUAAGAUGCUAUUAUCCGUGGAUCUCCGAAUGAGAAAACUCAGCUAGUAGAGAUACUAGUUAUCAUCAUAUGAAUUAAUAGUAUGAUGAAGUGAUACCUGGCGAAAUGAAAAAACUGAGUAGCUAGAGGAAAAGAAAACAAAGUGAUUCCCUUAGUAGUGCGAGCGAAACGGGAAAAGACCAAACCAAGAUUCGUCUUGGGGUUGUAGGACUACGAUGUGGACUUAAAAUAUAUAGUAGAAGAAGUUGGAAAGCUUCACAAUAUAGGGUGAUAGUCCCGUAUACGAAAUAUAUUUUAUACCUAGUAGUAUCCUGAGUAGGGCGGGACACGAGAAAUCCCGUUUGAAUCCGCCGCGACCAUGCGGUAAGUCUAAAUACAAACCAGUCACCGAUAGAGAAUAGUACCGUGAGGGAAAGGUGAAAAGAACCCAGAGAUGGGAGUGAAAUAGAAACCUGAAACCAUAUGCCUACAAUGGGUCAGAGCGCAUUAAUGCGUGAUGGCGUGCGUACUGAAGUAUGAGCCGGAGAGUUAUUGUUGCAUGCAAGGUUAAGCUGUAGAAGUGGAGCCGUAGGGAAACCGAAUCUUAAUAGGGUGUUUAGUAUGUAGCAAUAGACCCGAAACGGUUUGAUCUAUUCAUGAGCAGGUUGAAGGUAGGGUAACACCUAUUGGAGGACCGAACCUACGUUCGUUGAAACGCCCGAGGAUGACUUGUGAAUAGGACUGAAAUUGUAAUCGAAAACCGUGAUAGCUGGUUCUCGCCGAUAUAAAUUUAAGUUUAGCCUUGGAUUAUUGAUUACUAUGGGGGUAAAGCGCUGAAUGACUGAUGGCGUCGCCUUGAUGUACUGAUUUCAAUCAAACUCUGAAUACCAUAGAAUCUAUUCCAGGAGAUGGACUGUGGGGGAUAAGCUUCAUAGUCGUGAGGGGAAGAGCCCAGAUCAUUAACUAAGGUCCCUAAUAUAUGCUAAGUGGAAAAGGAUGUUGGAUUUCUUAAACACCAAGGAUGUUGGCUUAGAAGCAGCCAUCGUUUAAAGAGUGCGUAACAGCUCACUUGCCGAGAGAUCCUGCGCCAAAGAUUCAACGGGGCUUAAGCAUAUAACCGAAGUUAUGGGAUAUACAUAUGUUUUUCAUUUGUAUAUCGGUAGGCGAGCGUUGUAUAUAGGAUGAAGGUAGAGCGAGAGCACUGCUGGACAGUAUACAAGUGAGAAUUCCGGCGUGAGUAACGUAUGAAAGUGAGAAUCUUUCAAGCCGAAUUGACUAAGGUUUCCAGGACGAGGGUCGUCCUUCCUGGGUUAGUCGGAACCUAAGAUGAGGCCGCGAGGCGUAGUUGAUGGAUGAUAGGUUAAUAUUCCUAUACCUAGUAUGUGAGUGAUGGAGUGACGGAGAAGGUUAAUGCAGUGCGGUUAAUGGAUUCCGCUAAAAGCAUUGAGUCUUACGGGUAGGCAAAUCCGCCCGUUUCAAGGACAAGAUGUGAUAUUAUAGUGAAAGUUUCGACAAGUAAUAAAUCUGCAUACAUCACGCUUCCAAGAAAAGCUUCUAAACUUAUCGCAUAUUAGUCCGUACCGAGAACGAACACACGUGGUCAAGGAGAAUAUCCUAAGGCUAGAGAGUUAACUAUGGUCAAGGAACUCUGCAAAAUAACCCCGUAAGUUCGCGAGAAGGGGUGCUUAGUAAAAUAAGCCACAGUAAAGAGUGAGAAGCGACUGUUUAACAAAAACACAGCUUUAUGCUAAAUCGUAAGAUGAUGUAUAUGAGGUGACUCCUGCCCAGUGCUGGAAGGUUAAGGAAGUGGGUUAGCCGCAAGGCGAAGCUUGUGACCGAAGCCCCAGUGAACGGCGGCCGUAACUAUAACGGUCCUAAGGUAGCUCAACUCCUUGUCGGGUAAAUUCCGUCUAUGUGAAUGGAGUAACGACUUCUUAACUGUCUCGACCAUAGGCUCUGUGAAAUCUAGGUAGGGGUGCAGACGCCCCUUAGGCGCGAUCGGGCGAAAAGACCCCAUGAAGCUUUACUGUAGUUUAAUAUUGAAAAGGUACAUUGUAGUUAGAGCAUAGUCGGGAGACUUUGAUAUACGGUCGCUAGGUCGUAUGGAGUCACCAUUGUAAUACCGCCAUUAUAAUGUGCUUUUUCUAACCUUUGGCUGUUAUCCAGCUAUGGGACAGUGUUAGAUGGGCAGUUUGACUGGGGCGGUCGCCUCCCAAAAUGUAACGGAGGCGCGCAAAGGUUCCCUCAGCACGGUUGGAAAUCGUGUUUUGAGCGUAAUGGUAUAAGGGAGCUUGACUGUGAGACUUACAAGUCGAGCAGGUAAGAAAUUAGGUCAUAGUGAACUGGUGGUGCUGUAUGGAAAGGCCAUCAAUUAACGGAUAAAAGUUACUCUGGGGAUAACAGGCUGAUAGUGUCCAAGAGUUCAUAUCGACGACACUGUUUGGCACCUCGAUGUCGACUCAUCUUAUCCUGGGGGUGUAGCAACUCCCAAGGGUUCGGCUGUUCGCCGACUAAGAAGAUACGUGAGUUGGGUUCAAACCGUUGUGAAACAGGUUGGUUUCUCCCUGUCGUGCCCGUAAGAAGAUUGAGAAAAGUUGCUCCUAGUACGAGAGGAUCGGAGUGAAGUCACCUCUAAUGUUUCAGUUGUUCCGCCAGGAGCAUUGCUGGGUAGUUACGUGACGAAAGGAUAAGUGCUGAAAGCAUAUAAGCACGAAGCCUCUUUCAAGAUGAAUCUUCUCAGCCGCAAGGCAUAAGAAUCGUUGUAGACUACGACGUUGAUAGGAUACAUGUGUAAGUACCGUGAGGUAUUAAGCUGAGUAUUACUAAUUAUUCGAAAGACUUAUUUAA